CGGGGUGCAGCAGGCGCGAAAACUUUGCAAUACACGAAAGUGUGACAGGGUCAUCCCGAGUGCCGACCGCUGAGGUUGGCUUUUACCCAGUCUAGAAAGCCGGGGGAAUAAGGAGAGGGCAAGUCUGGUGUCAGCCGCCGCGGUAAUACCAGCUCUCCGAGUGGUGUGGACGUUUAUUGGGCCUAAAGCAUCCGUAGCUGGCUGAACAAGUCCCCUGUUAAACCCACCGAUUUAAUCGUUGGUCUGCGGGGGAUACUGCUCGGCUAGGGGACGAGAGAGGCAGACGGUAUUCCCGGGGUAGGGGUGAAAUCCUAUAAUCCCGAGAAGACCACCAGUGGCGAAGGCUGUCUGCUAGAACGCGCCCGACGGUGAGGGAUGAAAGCUGGGGGAGCGAACCGGAUUAGAUACCCGGGUAGUCCCAGCUGUAAACGAUGCAGACUAGGUGUUUGGACGGCCACGUGCCGUUCUAGUGCCGCAGGGAAGCUGUUAAGUCUGCCGCCUGGGGAGUACGAUCGCAAGAUUGAAACUUAAAGGAAUUGGCGGGGGAGCACAAGGGCGAAUCGC
RNAcentral lists this ribosomal RNA (564 nucleotides) under uncultured archaeon. RNAcentral's name for it is "bacterial SSU rRNA". It matches the Rfam family "Archaeal small subunit ribosomal RNA", at positions 326 to 896 of the family's 1478-position model. The record is from RNAcentral.